RNAcentral lists this unclassified non-coding RNA (3323 nucleotides) under Hevea brasiliensis (rubber tree). The record is from RNAcentral. Lineage: Eukaryota; Viridiplantae; Streptophyta; Magnoliopsida; Malpighiales; Euphorbiaceae.
GUAUUAUGAUGGGAAGACAUGGACAGUUCAUGGUCUAACAUGGGAGACCAUGUCCAUGGUGAGGAUUGAUCAAAUGUGUCAAGGUUUGAAAAUUGAGGGAAUGCUUAGGUACUUUUGGAGGCAACUAGGGAUGGAUUAUCGGGAGGGUUUAAGAUCAUUAUCUAAUGAAACAAACAUCAUUGAAAUGUGUGGACAAGCUAAUAUUGAAGGUAUUAUUGAUCUAUAUGUGCAACACUUGACUAUUGAUGAUCUAAAGAAGGAGUUUAGGCAGCAGGAAGUUACUAAAAAGUCUAAAUUGACUCUUGAGGAGAUUGAUGAGACUGGUGGGGGGUUAAGGAGAGUGGUGAUACUUCAUACAAGGGUAAUUCAUUUAUGCCUUUGCUUUUAGAGGAUGGUAACCGAGAAGUUACUAGCAAUGUGGAGAACCAACCUCAAGGGGGGAGUCAGGAGUUUCAUGUGCAGGGGACAUUUGAUGAUUUAGGGUCUUUAAAUACUGAAAGGUUUAAUGGGAUUAGUAAUGCAUGCACAUAUGAAUUUGGACAAGGUAGUUAUAGUGGUUUUGCAGAUUGCUUUUUUUACAUGAAUGAAGACACCAUAACAGAUAAUGAUUGUCUGCAUACAAGUGCAAAUGGGGAUGAUAUUGGAGAAGAUAUAAUUAGGCAUGACAAUGAAAGCCAAAUGCUUAAUGCUAAGGAUGAUGGAAUAGGGCAAACAGUUGGUAAUAGGUCUGAGGUUGAAUCUCAACAUGAUGCUGAUGUAAGGAAUGAUAAUGAGAGCCAAAUGCCUAAUGUUGAGGAUGAUGGGACUGAGCAAGCAUUCGGUAAUAGUUCUAAGGUUGAAUCUCCACAUGAGCCUGAUGUAAGGGAGGCUGUAAUUCUAGGAGUUGAUUUGGUGGAUGAGAAUUAUGACAUGGUUAGUGGGGAUGAAGAUGUGACCACAGUUUUUAAUGAUAUAGACAAAGGAAAUAUAGGAGGCAGACCUAAAGGUAGUGGGCAGAGGGUUGCAAGCCAAGGGUUGGAUAGAGAUAUACAAGAUGAUGGGAAUGAUGAUCAAUCUGAUUAUGCCCCAUCUGAUGAGCUUCUCACAGAUAUUGAAGGUACAUAACUACUUACAAAUGCAUUUUAUUUUAAUAUAUAUUAUGUAUGUUGAUGCAUUUGGACUAAUUUAAUUUUUUACCCAUUAUGUAGAUUCAAAGGAUGAUGAUUGUUGUAGGUUUCCUAAUUUUAAUGCAGAAAAUGAUAUGAAGGAUCCUACAUUUCAAAUAGGAAUGUUGUUUAAGAACAGAGAUGAAUUUAAGGAGGCUUGCAGAGCAUAUAGCAUUAAACAUAGGUUUCAAAUCUAUUUUCCAAGAAAUGAAGUUAGGUGCAUUAAAGCAAAGUGUUAUAAAAGUUGUGGUUGGAGAAUUUAUGCAAGCAGGAGAAAUCCUAAAGAUACAGCUGACCUAACAAUGCAGAUUAAGGCAGGCAAAUUCACACACACUUGUGGUAAGGACUUUAAAAACUUCUAUGUAACUGCAAAGUGGCUUGCACAACAAUAUUUAGAUGCAUUCAGAGCAGAUCCAGAAUGGUCUAUAAAUGGACUAAUUAAUAGAGUGAAGAUUGAUUUGAGCUUUACAAUUGGGAAGAUGAAAGCUUGGAGAGCAAGGGACUGGGCACUAAAGACACUAAAUGGGGAUGAGAAGGACCAGUAUGCCAAGUUGUAUGGCUAUAAGGAGGAAUUAAUUAGGACUAAUCCAGGGACUACAGUUGAAUUUCAAACAGAGAAAGGAAAAUUUGAGGGCAUAUAUAUAUGUUUAGCUGCUUUGAGAAAUGCAUUUGAUGAAGGACUUAGAAAGUUGAUAUGCUUGGAUGGUAGUUGGCUGAAAGGGACUCAUGGAGGUAAACUAUUAUCUGUAGUAGCUAUAGAACCUAAUGAUUGCAUCUUCCCCCUAGCAUAUGUUGUUGUAAGAAUUGAGUGUGGUGAAUCUUGGAAAUGGUUUUUGGAUAUGCUUAAAAAUGACUUACAAAUGCAUAAUAGCUUCAGUUGGACCUUUAUAUCAGAUAAACAAAAGGUACAUCACUACUUUUAUGUAUUUUUCAAUUGUUAAUUGCUUACUUGUUUGUGUACAUCAUGCAUAUGACUAAUUAAAUAUUGUUUCAUUUUUAAUUGCUUACUUGCUCACUUUUUUGUGCUUUGAUAUUAUUAGGGAUUGAUUGGAGCUGUGAGUGAGUUAUUCCCUAAUGUUGAACAUAGGUUCUGUGUUAGACAUCUCUACACUAAUUUUAGGGGAAGAUUUAAGGGUAAGGAAUUAAAAGACCUAUUGUGGAAUAUUGCUAGGUCUGCAUAUACAGCUAGGAUGGAUUAUUGGUUGGGUAAAAUGGAAGAAAAAAAGUGGUUAAGAAAGAGACCUUAUGAGAAUUGGAGUAGGGCUUUAUUUCGAACUGAAGCAUAUUGUGAUAUUUUAACCAAUAACCUCUGUGAGUGCUUUAACAAAUACAUUUUAGAUGCUAGGGACAAGCCAAUUAUCUCACUUCUAGAGAUGAUUAGAUCUAAGCUAAUGAAGCGGUUGUUUAAGAAGAAGGAAGAUAUUAAAAAAUGGAAUGGUGGGAUAUGUCCUAAAAUAUAGAAGAAGUUAAAUGAGAUGAAAGAGUUAUCAUGCUUGUUUGGAGCACACUUCUCUAGAGGACCAAAUGUGCAAGUAUUGGGUACUAGAACCUAGUAUAUUGUUAGCUUAGUUGAAAGGACUUGCACAUGUAGAAAGUGAGAUUUAAAUUGGAUAACUUGUGCACAUGCUUGCUCAAUUAUCUUUGGCAAUAAUGAGCAUCCAGAAGAUUAUAUACAUGAGUGUUAUAAAGUUAAUACUUACGCAAAAGUUUAAGCCCACUAUAUUAAUCCUAUUAAUGGAUAUGAGAUGUGGCCUAGGCCAAGCACAAUGUAUUCUUUUACACAUCCAGAUCCAAUUGAGAAAAAAAAAAGAGGUAGGAAGAGAAAGGCACGAAAAAAAGAGGCUGAAGAGCUUGAACAUGCACAAGGGAGGGGCAAACUGAGUAAAAAAGGUGCAGUAAGCAUUAGGUGUUCUAUUUGUGGGCAAAUUGAACAUAAUAAGAGGCAUCAUGAAGUUGAUAGAAACAUAUCAACUUCUACUACAAAGGUAUUAAUUUAAAUAAAGGCAAUUUUUUUUUAUUUGGGAUUGUCAUGUUAUAUACAACAACUAUUAUUUUAUAAAUACCUUUUUUUUUUCAUUUAUAGGGCAAGAGAGCUACAUCUGCAGAAACUUAUGAAGGCAAUACAAGGAUAAUAGCUCAAGGACAGGGUCAAGCAAAGGCAUCUAAUAGCGAAAAGGC